Molecule: ribosomal RNA, 894 nt
Filed under: Coolia malayensis
Lineage: Eukaryota; Dinophyceae; Peridiniales; Ostreopsidaceae
Description: partial large subunit ribosomal RNA
Rfam family: Eukaryotic large subunit ribosomal RNA
Source: RNAcentral
AAAAUAACAUGAUUCUUUUAGUAAUGGCGAAUGAACAAAGACAUGGUCAUUUUGAAAAUUGUGGUCUUAGAUCAUGAAUUGUAUUUUCAAAAUGCAUUGCUAACACAACUGCACAUGUUUGUUUAUUGGAAAGAACAUCACAAAGGGUGACAAUCCCAUGUGUCAUGUGUAUGUUUUGUGUACAGUGUGCAUUAUAUGAAUCACAUUCAUUGACAAUUGAAUGCAAAUAGAAUGGUAAAUUUCAUUUAAUCAUAAAUAUGUUGUUGACAACUUAUAGCAAACAAAUACCAUGAGGGAAAUGUGAAAAGGAUUUUGAAAAGAAAAUUAAAAGAGCUUGCAAUUGCUGAACUGAUAAGCAAACAAAACAUACGUGUGUAUGCAAGAUUGUUGUAAUGCUUAGCAUCUUUUGCAAGGUUAUUGCAAUGAUUUUUUGUAUAGUGAUGCUACCUUUUUUUGGAAUUUGGAAUGUCUUUUUUUGAGUGUGAAUGGAAUUUUGUUUGUUAGCAAAGGAAUGCACUUUUAGAUUCAUUGUUUGAUUUGAUUUAAAAAUGUUUGUGACACAUGUCUUUGUGUUAGUUUCAUGAUUCAACCAAGGACAUUGUGUUUGAUCCAUGUCAGCAAUACAUGUUUUGUUUGACCCGUCUUGAAACACGGACCAAGGAGUUUAAUUUAUGUGCAAGAUCAUGAAACUGACAUUUGUAUAUCAAUGAAAAUAUUUUGUUGGGAUUUGUGCACCAACAACUGAUAAGUUGUGUGACGCGACGUUGAGUUUGAGCAUGUUGAUUAAAACCCGAAAGAUGGUGAACUAUGCCUGAACAGAAUGAAGUCAGAGGAAACUCUGAUGGAAGUUCGUAUCGAUACUGACGUGCAAAUCGUUCGUCAUACUUGGGUAUA